CCUUAGUCAUCUGGAUAGCUCCGUCGGUAGAGCAUGAGGUUCUCAAGGUCGUGGGUUUGAGCCCCACAUUGGGGG
Podarcis lilfordi (Lilford's wall lizard) is the source of this 75-nucleotide non-coding RNA. The record is from the annotation of a GenBank genome assembly. Lineage: Eukaryota; Metazoa; Chordata; Lepidosauria; Squamata; Lacertidae.